RNAcentral lists this ribosomal RNA (439 nucleotides) under uncultured bacterium. RNAcentral describes it as "partial 16S ribosomal RNA". It matches the Rfam family "Bacterial small subunit ribosomal RNA", at positions 339 to 795 of the family's 1533-position model. The record is from RNAcentral.
CUACGGGAGGCUGCAGCGAGGAGUAUUGCACAAUGGGGGGAACCCUGAUGCAGCAACGCCGCGUGGAGGAUGACGCAUUUCGGUGUGUAAACUCCUUUUAUAUGUCAAGAAAAUGACGGUAGCAUAUGAAUAAGCACCGGCUAACUCCGUGCCAGCAGCCGCGGUAAUACGGAGGGUGCAAGCGUUACUCGGAAUCACUGGGCGUAAAGGACGCGUAGGCGGGUUGGAAAGUCAGGUGUGAAAUCCUACAGCUUAACUGUAGAACUGCACUUGAAACUUCUAAUCUAGAGUAUGGGAGGGGGAGAUGGAAUUAGUGGUGUAGGGGUAAAAUCCGUAGAUAUCACUAGGAAUACCUAAAGCGAAGGCGAUCUCCUGGAACAUUACUGACGCUAAGGCGUGAAAGCGUGGGGAGCAAACAGGAUUAGAUACCCCGGUAGUC